AACUCGACUACAUGAAGCUGGAAUCGCUAGUAAUCGCGAAUCAGAAUGCCGCGGUGAAUACGUUCCCGGGUCUUGUACACACCGCCCGUCACACCAUGGGAGUCAGCAACGCCCGAAGUCAGUGACCCAACCUUUAAGGAGGGAGCUGCCGAAGGCGGGGCAGGUGACUGGGGUGAAGUCGUAACAAGGUAGC
This 193-nucleotide ribosomal RNA is filed under the name uncultured bacterium. RNAcentral's name for it is "partial 16S ribosomal RNA". It matches the Rfam family "Bacterial small subunit ribosomal RNA", at positions 1309 to 1500 of the family's 1533-position model. The record is from RNAcentral.